RNAcentral lists this ribosomal RNA (1068 nucleotides) under uncultured bacterium. RNAcentral describes it as "bacterial SSU rRNA". It matches the Rfam family "Bacterial small subunit ribosomal RNA", at positions 336 to 1398 of the family's 1533-position model. The record is from RNAcentral.
CUCCUACGGGAGGCUGCAGUCGAGAAUCAUUGUCAAUGGACGCAAGUCUGAACGUGCGACGCCGCGUGUGGGAUGAAGGCCCUUGGGUUGUAAACCACUGUCAGGGGGAAGGAAUAAGCGUGUAACCCACGCGAUGACUUAUACCCCAGAGGAAGUGACGGCUAACUACGUGCCAGCAGCUGCGGUAAUACGUAGGUCACGAACGUUAUUCGGAAUCACUGGGCUUAAAGGGCGCGUAGGCGGUUUGAUAAGUUACGGUUGAAAUCCGGCGGCUCACCCGUCGAACUGGCCGUGAUACUGUCGAACUGGAGGUGCGGAGGGAUGCGUGGAACUUGUGGUGGAGCGGUGAAAUGCCCAGAUAUCACAGGGAACACCGGUGGCGAAGGCGACGCAUUGGCCGCAAUCUGACGCUGAGGCGCGAAAGCAUGGGGAGCGAACGGGAUUAGAUACCCCGGUAGUCCAUGCCGUAAACGAUGUGCACUAGGGAGAGGGUGGGUCCUAACUCACUCCCUCCCCAAGCAAAAGCGUUAAGUGCACCGCCUGGGGAGUAUGCUCGCAAGGGUAAAACUCAAAGGAAUUGACGGGGGCUCACACAAGCGGUGGAGCAUGUGGUUCAAUUCGAAGCAACGCGAAGAACCUUACCAGGCCUAGACAUCAGGAUGUAACCGGCAGAAACGUCGGCCAACUCGCAAGAGAAAUCCUGUGCAGGUGUUGCAUGGCUGUCGUCAGCUCGUGUCGUGAGAUGUCGGGUUAAGUCCCAUAACGAGCGAAACCCCUGCCGUUAGUUGCUACCGGGUCAUGCCGGGCACUCUAGCGGGACUGCCUCGUAAGACGGAGGAAGGUGGGGACGACGUCAAGUCAUCAUGGCCCUUACGGCCUGGGCUACACACGUGCUACAAUGGGUGGUACAAAGAGAUCCGAAACGGCGACGUCAAGGAAAUCCCAGAAAGCCACCCCCAGUACGGAUUGAAGGCUGCAACUCGCCUUCAUGAAGCCGGAAUCGCUAGUAAUCGCGGGUCAGCCAUACCGCGGUGAAUAUGUUCCUGAGCCUUGAUCACACCGCCCGUC